CCUACGGGAGGCAGCAGUAAGGAAUAUUGGACAAUGGCCGCAAGGCUGAUCCAGCCAUGCCGCGUGCAGGAAGAAGGCCCUAUGGGUCGUAAACUGCUUUUGAACCAGAGAAAACCCCACUACGUGUAGUGGGCUGAUAGUAUGGUUAGAAUAAGCAUCGGCUAACUUCGUGCCAGCAGCCGCGGUAAGACGAAGGAUGCAAGCGUUAUCCGGAUUCAUUGGGUUUAAAGGGAGCGUAGGCGGACUUGUAAGUCAGUGGUGAAAUCUGUGGGCUUAACCCACAAACUGCCAUUGAUACUGCAGGUCUAGAGUACAGUUGCCGUUGGCGGAAUAUGACAUGUAGUGGUGAAAUACUUAGAUAUGUCAUAGAACACCGAUUGCGAAGGCAGCUAACGAAGCUGUAACUGACGCUGAGGCUCGAAAGUGCGGGGAUCAAACAGGAUUAGAUACCCUGGUAGUCCGCACUGUAAACGAUGAUUACUCGUCGCUGGAAAGCAAUUUUCAGUGACCAAGCGAAAGCGAUAAGUAAUCCACCUGGGAGUACGCCGGCGAACGGUGAAACUCAAAGGAAUUGACGGGCGNGAGAGCGACGGACGACGACGAGGAGGGAGGAG
Molecule: ribosomal RNA, 614 nt
Filed under: uncultured bacterium
Lineage: Bacteria
Description: bacterial SSU rRNA
Rfam family: Bacterial small subunit ribosomal RNA
Source: RNAcentral